CGGACGGGUGAGUAAUGUCUGGGAAACUAGCCUGAUGGAGGGGGGUAACUACUGGAAACGGUAGCUAAUACCGCAUAACGUCGCAAGACCAAAGAGGGGGACCUUCGGGCCUCUUGCCAUCGGAUGUGCCCAGAUGGGAUUAGCUAGUAGGUGGGGUAAAGGCUCACCUAGGCGACGAUCCCUAGCUGGUCUGAGAGGAUGACCAGCCACACUGGAACUGAGACACGGUCCAG
This 233-nucleotide ribosomal RNA is filed under the name uncultured bacterium. RNAcentral describes it as "partial 16S ribosomal RNA". It matches the Rfam family "Bacterial small subunit ribosomal RNA", at positions 99 to 334 of the family's 1533-position model. The record is from RNAcentral.